GAAAUGCGAUAAGUAAUGUGAAUUGCAGAAUUCAGUGAAUCAUCGAAUCUUUGGACGCACCUUGCGCUCCUUGGUAUUCCUUGGAGCAUGCCUGUUUGAGUAUCAUGAAAUCUUCAAAGUAAAUCUUUUGUUAACUCAAUUGGUUUCUACUUUGGUAUUGGAGGUCUUUGCAGCUUCACACCUGCUCCUCUUUGUUCAUUAGCUGGAUCUCAGUGUUAUGCUUGGUUCCACUCGGCGUGAUAAGUUAUCUAUCGCUGAGGACACUGUAAAAGGUGGCCAAGGUAAAUGCAGAUGAACCGCUUCUAAUACUCCAUUGACUUGGACAAUACUUUUAUGAUCCGAUCUCAAAUCAGGUAGGACUACCCGCUGAACUUAAGC
This 378-nucleotide unclassified non-coding RNA is filed under the name plant metagenome. RNAcentral's name for it is "partial contains 5.8S ribosomal RNA, internal transcribed spacer 2, and large subunit ribosomal RNA". The stretch from base 1 to 105 matches the Rfam family "5.8S ribosomal RNA", at positions 50 to 154 of the family's 154-position model. The record is from RNAcentral.